Pyrus x bretschneideri (Chinese white pear) is the source of this 563-nucleotide long non-coding RNA. RefSeq lists it as uncharacterized. The transcript has 2 exons. The record is from RefSeq and is a predicted model, not a curated record. Lineage: Eukaryota; Viridiplantae; Streptophyta; Magnoliopsida; Rosales; Rosaceae.
CUCCCCUUUGUUCUCUAACUCUCGAUUCUCUCUGUAAACAUUCUCAUUUUCCCUUUCCUGCGCUAAGAAGGAAACCACCAUCACCUACACCAUUUUUGUCCAAAUCAAACCCCAAAAAUCUGAACCUUGAACCUUUGGGACAUGGGAAAUCCACUUACAGCCUUGCAUGUGUCAUCAGAGCACCUCCGUGUGCUCUGCCAUUAAUGUCGAGAGCUUGAGCUCUCUCAAACUUCAUCUCAGGAGGUAACAAAAGUAAGGAGAACACUGGUGGUGACGAGUGAGCUUGGAAGUGAAGCUUUCAUCCUCUGGAUAUUGGGUGAUGAUUCAUUUACUGCAGUUUUAUCUUAUUGUAAUAAUGGCAUGAUCAUAGUUUUGAUUAUGCAUAGCAUUGCACUUUUAUGUGUUUACUAUUAAGUGAAACUUCUAGCUGCUUUGACAUGAUGUGAUAAUAACGGGUUUAAACCCGAGAUAAUUUGUGUCCCCAAAUGGGGAGGAUAAUAAGUGAUUUCUUAUAGUAGCUUUGGAUUUAUUAUUAAUGAACGUUUUUGGUUCAAAUUCCUUCA